GCCUAGUUAGCUUAGUUGGUAGUGCGUCUGCCUUGUAAGCGCUAGGCCGCGGAUUCGAUUCCCGCCCGGGGCA
This 73-nucleotide transfer RNA is filed under the name Diaphorina citri (Asian citrus psyllid). It matches the Rfam family "tRNA". From Rfam's summary of the family: Transfer RNA (tRNA) molecules are approximately 80 nucleotides in length. Their secondary structure includes four short double-helical elements and three loops (D, anti-codon, and T loops). Further hydrogen bonds mediate the characteristic L-shaped molecular structure. tRNAs have two regions of fundamental functional importance: the anti-codon, which is responsible for specific mRNA codon recognition, and the 3' end, to which the tRNAs corresponding amino acid is attached (by aminoacyl-tRNA synthetases). tRNAs cope with the degeneracy of the genetic code in two manners: having more than one tRNA (with a specific anti-codon) for a particular amino acid; and 'wobble' base-pairing, i.e. permitting non-standard base-pairing at the 3rd anti-codon position. The record is from Rfam by way of RNAcentral. Lineage: Eukaryota; Metazoa; Arthropoda; Insecta; Hemiptera; Psyllidae.